GGCGGCAUAGCCAAGUGGUAAGGCCAGGGUCUGCAAAACCCUUAUUCACCGGUUCAAAUCCGGUUGCCGCCUCCA
This 75-nucleotide transfer RNA is filed under the name Staphylococcus muscae. RNAcentral's name for it is "tRNA-Cys(gca)". It matches the Rfam family "tRNA". Rfam says of the family: Transfer RNA (tRNA) molecules are approximately 80 nucleotides in length. Their secondary structure includes four short double-helical elements and three loops (D, anti-codon, and T loops). Further hydrogen bonds mediate the characteristic L-shaped molecular structure. tRNAs have two regions of fundamental functional importance: the anti-codon, which is responsible for specific mRNA codon recognition, and the 3' end, to which the tRNAs corresponding amino acid is attached (by aminoacyl-tRNA synthetases). tRNAs cope with the degeneracy of the genetic code in two manners: having more than one tRNA (with a specific anti-codon) for a particular amino acid; and 'wobble' base-pairing, i.e. permitting non-standard base-pairing at the 3rd anti-codon position. RNAcentral also lists the same sequence under 4 other names. The record is from RNAcentral. Lineage: Bacteria; Bacillati; Bacillota; Bacilli; Caryophanales; Staphylococcaceae.